UCAAGUGUUUUGGUUCAAUGAAUGGUC
RNAcentral lists this non-coding RNA (27 nucleotides) under Homo sapiens (human). The record is from RNAcentral. Lineage: Eukaryota; Metazoa; Chordata; Mammalia; Primates; Hominidae.